UUGAAUUGCCCUUUUUCUUCUGCUGAUAGCCUCUAAUUCUCAUGCCUACAGACACACAGAGGAAAAGGCUAUGCUUAUUUUCACUUUGGAGCUAGCUGGCACCACAGCUGAUGGCAUUUUAGUUAAAGUCCCUGUUACUGAUUGCAGAGCCGUUUGCAAAAUGGCUCCCUGGGCUGCACCUGUGAGACAGGACACAUCACACCUCACACCCUGACAGACCCCAGGUUUAUAGGAACUUUCCAUCCUCUUUUGAGGUGUUCUGGUCCCAUCACAAGUUUAGGUGAUUGCUUUUUCUUUUAGUGACAAUGCAACACCUAGAGACAGAGUGUUAUUUCUGCUGUGUAAUGGACCUUUAUUCUUUUUUCUCUAGAAAGAGCUGGGAUGUGGAUACACAGCACCCUGAUAGCAAGUUCACAAGGAAAGGUUGUAGUGCACUGUCACUGCACUUGGUUCAUUCUACUCAGUGUCUACCAGGACUGUCAAAGCAGCAAGUUUGUGCAAGACAUAAUGCUUAGAUCAAGUCUAUAUCAAGUCUCAUCCCAGUUUUAAUUCAGUUUACUUCAGCCCAACAAAACAAACCUCUUAUUGCUGUCUCGAGUACUGAGAAAAAAUAAUACACAAUUAGUCAAACACUUAUCCUCCCACCUGCCCAUUCUCAGAUUACCUUGUUUUGCAACCAGUCCUCUGGUAGAAAAUUCCUCUGAUGAAGUAACAGAUGGUGCAGCAGUUGAGGUGGGAACCUAACAGUUUCUGCAGCUCUGUUCCUCAGUGGUCCUGCCCUGCUCAGGUGUGCUGCUGGCAGCAGACCAUGGCCCCUUCAGGCACGUACCCAUUCUGGCUUGGCAGCGGCAACAACAGUUUCCUCAGGAUUGUCCCCACUCAGGGCAAGAUGUAGAGAUUAAUGCUGAUAAUGGAGUUUGUACAUAGUCUGUUUGCUGUACUAAUCUGAUAUUGAAUAAAAUCAACCAAAUUGCUUGUAAUUUUAGAAGUAUAGAAGACCAUAGAAAAGAACUGCAGAACUUGUAAAGUUAAUGAAGAUUAGAUAUCGCACCAUAUUCUUGGGAAAAGCGAUUAAAGUUUUUGUUGGUGGGGACUUAACUGCCCUCUUGACUGUUGUUCUGGAUUUCGCAAGAUUUCAGUUCUGUUACUUGUACCUCAAGGUACAGAAGUGACAAAGUUCUUGCAGCACUUCUUUCUGACAAAGUGUUACUUUGGCCAGAUUCCUUUACUACAGAAUGUCCGAGCAGAGCUGUCAGGAAGAAAGUUCCGUUUAGGACCACUUCAAAAUAAUUGUUUACUACUCAGAAAACUAUUACUAAAUAUGUUUAAUGACUCUGGAAACAAGAAUCAAUCAAAACCAAGGAAGAAAACCAAAUGGACCAAUACUCAAGUUAAUUUAAAUCUUACCUUGGUAGCUGCUUUUCUUAAAUU
Molecule: long non-coding RNA, 1431 nt
Organism: Anas platyrhynchos (mallard)
Lineage: Eukaryota; Metazoa; Chordata; Aves; Anseriformes; Anatidae
Source: RefSeq, a predicted model, not a curated record